UACGUAGGGUGCGAGCGUUAAUCGGACUUACUGGGCGUAAAGCGUGCGCAGGCGGUUUUGUAAGCCAGGUGUGAAAUCCCCGGGCUUAACCUGGGAAUGGCAUUUGGGACUGCAAGGCUGGAGUGUGGCAGAGGAGACUGGAAUUCCUGGUGUAGCAGUGAAAUGCGUAGAUAUCAGGAGGAAUACCGAUGGCGAAGGCAGGUCUCUGGGCUGACACUGACGCUCAUGCACGAAAGCGUGGGGAGCAAACAGG
Molecule: ribosomal RNA, 253 nt
Filed under: uncultured bacterium
Lineage: Bacteria
Description: partial 16S ribosomal RNA
Rfam family: Bacterial small subunit ribosomal RNA
Source: RNAcentral